Molecule: ribosomal RNA, 253 nt
Filed under: uncultured bacterium
Lineage: Bacteria
Description: partial 16S ribosomal RNA
Rfam family: Bacterial small subunit ribosomal RNA
Source: RNAcentral
UACAGAGGUCUCAAGCGUUGUUCGGAUUCAUUGGGCGUAAAGGGUGUGUAGGUGGCGCGCUAAGUCGGGCGUGAAAUUUCGGAGCUUAACUCCGAAACUGCAUUCGAUACUGGCGUGCUUGAGGACUGGAGAGGAGACUGGAAUUUACGGUGUAGCAGUGAAAUGCGUAGAUAUCGUAAGGAAGACCAGUGGCGAAGGCGGGUCUCUGGACAGUUCCUGACACUGAGACACGAAGGCCAGGGGAGCAAACGGG